Molecule: ribosomal RNA, 484 nt
Filed under: uncultured bacterium
Lineage: Bacteria
Description: partial 16S ribosomal RNA
Rfam family: Bacterial small subunit ribosomal RNA
Source: RNAcentral
AUUGAACGCUGGCGGCAGGCCUAACACAUGCAAGUCGAGCGGAUGAAGGGAGCUUGCUCCUGGAUUCAGCGGCGGACGGGUGAGUAAUGCCUAGGAAUCUGCCUGGUAGUGGGGGAUAACGUCCGGAAACGGGCGCUAAUACCGCAUAUGUCCUGAGGGAGAAAGUGGGGGAUCUUCGGACCUCACGCUAUCAGAUGAGCCUAGGUCGGAUUAGCUAGUUGGUGGGGUAAAGGCCUACCAAGGCGACGAUCCGUAACUGGUCUGAGAGGAUGAUCAGUCACACUGGAACUGAGACACGGUCCAGACUCCUACGGGAGGCAGCAGUGGGGAAUAUUGGACAAUGGGCGAAAGCCUGAUCCAGCCAUGCCGCGUGUGUGAAGAAGGUCUUCGGAUUGUAAAGCACUUUAAGUUGGGAGGAAGGGCAGUAAGUUAAUACCUUGCUGUUUUGACGUUACCAACAGAAUAAGCACCGGCCAACUUCGUG